AGAACGAACGCUGGCGGCAUGCCUAAUACAUGCAAGUCGAACGAACACUUCGGUGUUAGUGGCGCACGGGUGCGUAACGCGUGGAAAUCUGCCCUUGGGUUCGGAAUAACAGUUGGAAACGACUGCUAAUACCGGAUGAUAUCGAAAGAUCAAAGAUUUAUCGCCCAGGGAUGAGCCCGCGUAGGAUUAGCUAGUUGGUGAGGUAAAGGCUCACCAAGGCGACGAUCCUUAGCUGGUCUGAGAGGAUGAUCAGCCACACUGGGACUGAGACACGGCCCAGACUCCUACGGGAGGCAGCAGUAGGGAAUAUUGGACAAUGGGCGCAAGCCUGAUCCAGCAAUGCCGCGUGAGUGAUGAAGGCCUUAGGGUUGUAAAGCUCUUUUACCCGAGAUGAUAAUGACAGUAUCGGAGAAUAAGCCCCGGCUAACUCCGUGCCAGCAGCCGC
This 445-nucleotide ribosomal RNA is filed under the name uncultured soil bacterium. Its description in RNAcentral is "bacterial SSU rRNA". It matches the Rfam family "Bacterial small subunit ribosomal RNA", at positions 26 to 518 of the family's 1533-position model. The record is from RNAcentral.